Molecule: ribosomal RNA, 497 nt
Filed under: uncultured bacterium
Lineage: Bacteria
Description: partial 16S ribosomal RNA
Rfam family: Bacterial small subunit ribosomal RNA
Source: RNAcentral
GAUGAACGCUGGCGGCGUGCCUAAUACAUGCAAGUCGAGCGAACAGACUAGGAGCUUGCUCCUCUGACGUUAGCUGCGGACGGGUGAUUACCACGUGGCUAACCUACCUAUACGACUGGGAUAACUUCGGGAAACCGGAGCUAAUACCGGAUAAUAUAUUGAACCGCAUGGUUCAAUAGUGAAAGACGGUUUUGCUGUCCCUUAUAGAUGGAUCCGCGCCGCAUUAGCUAGUUGGUAAGGUAACGGCUUACCAAGGCAACGAUGCGUAGCCGACCUGAGAGGGUGAUCGGCCACACGGGAAGUGAGAGAAGGUCCAGACUACUACGGGAGGGAGCAGUAGGGAAUCUUCAGACAAGGGCGAAAGCCUGAAGGAGGAAUGCCGCGUGAGUGAUGAAGGGCUUCGGAUCGUAAAACUCUGUUAUUAGGGAAGAACAAAGGUGUAAGUAACUAUGCACGUGUUGACGGUACCUAAGCAGAAAGCCACGGAUAACUACGUG